UACGUAGGGGGCUAGCGUUAUCCGGAAUUACUGGGCGUAAAGGGUGCGUAGGUGGUUUCUUAAGUCAGAGGUGAAAGGCUACGGCUCAACCGUAGUAAGCCUUUGAAACUGGGGAACUUGAGUGCAGGAGAGGAGAGUGGAAUUCCCAGUGUAGCGGUGAAAUGCGUAGAUAUUAGGAGGAACACCAGUUGCGAAGGCGGCUCUCUGGACUGUAACUGACACUGAGGCACGAAAGCGUGGGGAGCAAACAGG
RNAcentral lists this ribosomal RNA (252 nucleotides) under uncultured bacterium. Its description in RNAcentral is "partial 16S ribosomal RNA". It matches the Rfam family "Bacterial small subunit ribosomal RNA", at positions 524 to 776 of the family's 1533-position model. The record is from RNAcentral.